RNA transcript from Poecile atricapillus (Black-capped chickadee), 9852 nucleotides. It is a transcript of the gene named ankyrin repeat and FYVE domain containing 1, with no coding region annotated. The record is from RefSeq and is a predicted model, not a curated record. The transcript has 26 exons. Lineage: Eukaryota; Metazoa; Chordata; Aves; Passeriformes; Paridae.
CACGUGGCUGGGAAAAUGAUCCUGUUAUUGCUACUUGGUCAUUGCCUGUCGACUUGCAACCACUUUCCACCCACCGGGCACUAGUCCAGUGUCCACAGGGCACAGAUUCAGUGUCCAGGAUGGUUGGCUCUGAAACAAAAGCAGGAAUUGAAGUGACGAUGCUGCAGUGGAGUCCCGCGGCCCGAGCACCCUGGCCGUGCUUCCUGCAGCCUCCUGGCUGGGCAGGGGCGGGACGGCGGUCCUGGGGCAGGUGAACGGAGCUGAUGCACAGAGGAGGUGGCCAAGCUGGAAAAGCACCUGAUGCUCCUCCGCCAGGAGUAUGUGAAGCUGCAGAAGAAACUUGUUGAUACAGAAAGGAGAUGCAACCUUCUGGCCGUUGAGGCCAACCAGGACAAUGCCAGCGACACCUUCAUCAGUCGACUUCUCGCCAUUGUAGCUGAACUCUAUCAGCAGGAGCAGUACAGUGAUCUGAAGAUAAAGGUUGGGGACAAGCACAUCAGCGCUCACAAAUUUGUCUUGGCGGCACGCAGCGAUACGUGGAGUCUUGCCAACCUUGCCUCAACAGAGGAGCUGGAUCUGUCAGCAGAUGCUGACCCAGAGGUAACCAUGGCAAUGCUGCGGUGGAUCUACACAGAUGAACUUGAGCUAAGAGAAGAUGAUAUCUUCUUGACAGAGCUCAUGAAAUUAGCUAAUAAAUUUCAGCUCCAGUUGCUUAGGGAAAGAUGUGAAAAAGGAGUUAUGUCACUCGUUAAUGUCAGGAACUGCAUCCGUUUCUAUCAGACUGCCGAGGAGCUCAGUGCCAGCACGCUCCUCAACUACUGUGCUGAGAUCAUUGCUAGCCACUGGGAUGACUUGCGUAAAGAAGACUUCAGCAGCAUGAGUGCUCAGCUAUUGUAUAAAAUGUUCAAGUCAAAGACAGAAUAUCCUUUGCAUAAGGCCAUUAAAGUUGAGAGAGAAGAUGUAGUCUUUUUGUAUCUUAUUGAAAUGGAUUCACAGCUUCCUGGGAAGCUCAACGAGUUGGAUCACAAUGGAGAUCUUGCUCUGGAUCUAGCCCUGGCCCAAAGAUUGGAGAGUAUUGCAACUACACUGGUCAACUACAAGGCUGACGUAGAUAGGGCAGACAAGAGAGGCUGGAGUCUGCUCCAUAAAGCCAUCCAGAGAGGAGAUAAAUUUGCUGCAAACUUCCUCAUUAAAAAUGGUGCCCGUGUGAAUAGCGCUACACUGGGAGACCAGGAGACUCCUCUGCACCUUGUGGCAUCGUACAGCCCCAAGAAGCACUCGCCAGAUGUCAUGGCAGAGAUGGCACAGAUUGCACAGUCCCUCCUGCAGGCAGGAGCCAACCCAAACAUGCAAGACAGCAAAGGCAGGACCCCGUUACAUGUGUCCAUUGUGGUCAGGAACGAGCCUGUGUUCAGUCAGCUCCUGCAGUGCAAGCAACUAGACUUGGAGCUGAAGGAUCAUGAAGGAAGCACAGCUCUGUGGCUUGCAGUCCAGUAUAUCACUGUAUCGUCUGAUCAGUCUGUGAACCCUUUUGAGGAUGCCCCUGUUGUGAAUGGAACCUCAUUUGAUGAGAACAGUUUUGCAGCAAGGUUGAUCCAGCGAGGCAGCAAUACAGAUGCUCCAGACACAGUAACAGGAAACUGCUUGCUUCAGAGAGCAGCUGGUGCAGGAAAUGAGGCAGCUUCUCUCUUCCUAGCAACUCAUGGAGCAAAAGUCAACCACCAAAACAAAUGGGGAGAAACCCCACUGCACACAGCCUGCAGGCAUGGCCUGGCAAACCUGACAGCAGAACUCCUGCAGCAAGGAGCCAACCCCAACAUCCAGACAGCAGAGGCAGUGCUUGGGCAGAAGGAUGCAUCUGCUCCUCCAUCAGCAGAGAAUGUUCAUCUGCAAACUCCCCUUCACAUGGCUAUUGCUUACAAUCACCCAGAUGUGGUGUCAGUCAUCCUAGAACAAAAAGCUAAUGCUCUUCAUGCUACCAACAACUUGCAAAUUAUUCCUGACUUUAGUCUAAAGGACUCAAGAGACCAGACUGUGCUGGGAUUGGCUCUUUGGACAGGCAUGCACACAAUAGCAGCUCAGCUGCUUGGAUCUGGGGCAUCCAUCAAUGACACCAUGUCAGACGGACAGACGCUCCUGCACAUGGCAAUCCAGAGACAGGACAGUAAGAGUGCCCUCUUCCUGCUGGAACAUCAGGCAGAUAUAAAUGUCAGGACCCAGGAUGGAGAGACAGCCCUACAGCUGGCCAUCCAAAACCAGCUCCCACUCGUGGUGGAUGCCAUUUGUACCAGGGGAGCAGACAUGUCUGUGCCAGAUGAGAAAGGAAAUCCUCCCUUAUGGCUCGCCUUGGAAAACAACCUGGAAGAUAUUGCAUCAACUCUGGUUAGGCAUGGCUGUGAUGCAACGUGUUGGGGGUCAGGACCAAGUGGCUGCUCACAAACCCUUCUCCACAGAGCUAUUGAUGAGAACAGUGAACAGAUUGCUUGCUUCCUUAUCCGCAGUGGGUGUGAUGUGAAUAGUCCCAGAAAGCCAGGCCCAAAUGGAGAAGGAGAAGAGGAAGCCCAUGAUGGGCAGACACCCCUACACUUGGCAGCCUGCUGGGGACUAGAGGAGGUGAUCCAGUGCCUUCUGGAGUUUGGUGCCAAUGUCAAUGCUCAGGAUGCAGAAGGAAGAACUCCAAUCCAUGUUGCCAUUAGCAACCAACAUAAUGUUAUCAUUCAGCUGAUGAUUUCACAUCCAGAUAUUAAGCUGAAUGUACGUGACAGGCAAGGAAUGACUCCCUUUGCUUGUGCUAUGACGUAUAAAAAUAAUAAAGCAGCUGAAGCAAUUUUGAAGAGGGAGCCAGGAGCUGCAGAACAGGUUGAUAAUAAAGGUCGGAAUUUCCUCCAUGUGGCUGUCCAGAACUCGGACAUCGAGAGCGUGCUGUUCCUGAUCAGCGUGCAGGCCAAUGUCAACUCUCGGGUCCAGGAUGCCUCCAAACUGACCCCUCUGCACCUGGCAGUGCAGGCUGGCUCGGAGAUUAUUGUGCGCAAUCUGCUGCUUGCAGGUGCCCAGGUGAAUGAACUGACCAAGCACCGCCAGACUGCUCUUCACUUAGCAGCCCAGCAAGACCUGCCCACCAUUUGUUCAGUCCUUCUGGAGAAUGGAGUAGACUUUGCAGCUGUAGAUGAAAAUGGAAAUAACGCUCUGCAUCUGGCAGUGAUGCAUGGCCGUCUGAACAACAUCCGGGUCCUCCUCACAGAGUGCAAUGUAGAUGCAGAAGCCUUUAAUAUCAGAGGCCAGUCACCAAUGCAUAUUCUGGGACAAUAUGGGAAAGAUAAUGCAGCAGCCAUCUGUGACCUCUUCUUGGAGUGUAUGCCAGAAUACCCUCUAGACAAACCUGAUGCUGAAGGAAACACAGUGCUCCUCUUGGCUUACAUGAAGGGAAAUGCUAACUUGUGUCGUGCAAUAGUGAGAGCUGGGGCUCGCCUGGGAGUUAACAAUAACCAAGGAGUCAAUAUCUUCAAUUACCAAGUUGCUACAAAACAGCUUCUCUUUAGAUUGCUGGAUAUGCUGACAAAAGAACCUCCCUGGUGUGAUGGCUCCAACUGCUAUGAAUGUGCUGCCAAAUUCGGAGUCACGACAAGAAAGCAUCACUGCCGACACUGUGGACGCCUGCUCUGCCAUAAGUGCUCAACAAAGGAGAUUCCUAUCAUAAAAUUUGAUCUGAACAAGCCAGUUCGAGUUUGCAACAUCUGCUUUGAUGUCCUGACUCUGGGAGGAGUCUCCUAGUAUGCUGUGGAUGUAAAGGGAUUUCCAGUCAGUGCUCCUGACAGCAGCUCUGCUUACAAGCCCUCUGGAUAGGGAAGAGGAGGCCUAUACAUGUCUUCUGCAAUAGACUGAACUAAUUAAGGACCCUGUUAUGAUAUACUCUGGUAUAAAUGAUUUUGUAUGACUGUAAAUGUAUCGGGCUGCGAUAGACUUCACUAGGAAUCAGAGUGGAUUGUUGAAACCAAGUGACAAAAGAAUUUAGACCCUCUUCUAAUUGCAGUGGGGUAUGGAAGCUGAAAUUUAUACUGAUUGAAUCGGCAUAAAACAGGUCUGUCCUCAACAUGGUGCUUUGCACUGAGCAACUCUAUUAAGUCCUGUGGCUUUCAGGCUACUUAGUAGAGAUGGUAUUAAGUUUCAGGGUAACCAGGUAUCUUUCUUUGCUUUGUCUUAAAGAUAAACGUUCCCCUUCUCUAGAGAAGACUUUUUGUGAAGCUAAACUGAGCUGUUGCAACCACUGUUCAAGAAACUCUUCAGACCUGGGGUUAGUUCUAAGUAUAGCUCAAGAAUUGUGGCCUUACAACAGAAAGCUUUACAUCUGAUGCAAAGCAGUCAGAAUUGCAGAUCCACAUCUUGAUACCUCCUCAGCAAAUGACUCAUUAGCUUUAGCAUGUUCAAGAGAAGUGCAAGAUUGUUUUAGGAAAUGCUCUUGCCUGCUGGAACUGUCAGUCUUCGUUGCACUUUCAUAUUUAUGUUGCUGGUCCUUCCAGUUCGUGGCGCUUGUAUAAAUGACCAUGAGUUUGCUGAAAGGCCUAAGCAUGUGUUAAAGGAGAAACACUAAAACUGGUGAAGUCUAACUCACAGUACAGCAAUAAAUGCUGAAGUGCAUUAGGAAUCCCAGGAGGGAGAGUGAUACUUUCCUGGGGCUUAAGGGGCCUGGUAACUGCUGUGGGAGAGUCAGUAACCCUACCACGUGUAAAAUGUGCUGCACCUCUAGACACUAAACUUGGGUCCAUUUUCAGCUGGUGAGUGUACGUGGAGGCUUCCUAUUAGGAGUAAGCUGCAGAAUUUUAAUCUAGGCUGGCUGUACUCUCUUAAACAUGCUGAAUCUGUGGAAACCUACCACCACAUUGUCUAGAUAAAUAGGAAAGUACUUGACUGGUAGACCAGCUUGUGAUUUGGUGGGCAAAGGCUUCAGUUAGAAAAAAAGGGUACUUAAGCAAAACUACAUGCCAUGUUAAGGCUGUUUUUAUUUCAAGAGAUAAAGCUAGUAUAGACUCAAUUCAGCAUUCCUCAUCUUUACUCCAUGAAUUGGUGUGCAUUUUUUAAUGACUGUUAUCUCCAGUGAACAGUGUGGACAGGUGAUGAUGUGUUGCCCUGUUUGGAGCAGUGACUUGGUCUCAAAGAGUAAAGUGAGAUGAUGAACCAGACUGCUGCUGUUACAGGAGACUUGCUCAGUUUUUCUCAAGCUUGUACAAGGAGAGGAUAGGAGGGUGUAAUUGCUGACAUUUGUAUGAUUAAUUUCACAUCAAGUCUCACUUGAUCUGCACUUUGAUCUUCCAAUAUGCACAUAUUGUAACUGGAAUCACCCCUGUACCACUAGGGAAGAACAAUGGAUGACAAUACAAACUUGCCUCACUGUUUGAUGUCUGCUGCUGUCAUGUUCCAACAGAAUGCUCUGGGUAACACAGCUGGUCUCUAACACAGUUACUAAUGCAAAUGGUGCAUCUCUGGCAUAAUAGUGUAGGUGAAGGAGGGAAAAUAGUGGUGUCAGUUAAUGUUAGCUACAGUAAUUGAUGGUGUCAGCUAACUGCAAUCUACAGAUUGGGGUUUUUAAGUGAAAGAGAUGAUGAAAAACAUUGUACUUCUGAUAUUUCAGGGUGUCACUGGUUGCAGAUGUCUAGGAGUGAAAGAUAACAAUGGAGGGAAAGUGCAUUUGGUGAAAGAAGUCUUGACUGUAGUCCCAUGAUAACAUGUUGUUGGUUUGGAGCUGAAAUGAUGUGGGAAGGUAAGAGUGUGCUCAGAAUGCUGAGAGUGCAGAGGAGGGGUUUUCCAAGGCCACAGCCUAUGGGCUUCAGCCUCAUUGGAAAACUGCACAGCAUGUAAUUGCCAAAGUAUUUAAACAUCACUUUUUCAGUGGCUCCCCUGAUGGAAGGGCAAGGGAACAGGGAGCUCAGCUCUAACAGAUAAGCAAGCUUUAUAAUGAUGGAAAAUGUGGAUCUGGUGAAAAUUCAGCUUAACUGAAUGGCAAGGUAAGGCUGGGUAGUUGCUCUUCUAAAAAAUAGGAUAUUGAUUACAACUGUAAAACUGUGGGGAAGAUCUGGGAAACCCAUCUGUAGUGCUCCUGGUUUGCUGUUUACAGCCAGUAGUGUCCCAUCUUACUGAAGUCUGAAGGGAAAGCUAAGGUUAUUGUUAAAUAAUACAGCCUGAGGUGUUAGUUAAAUUUAAAGCAACUAAAUUGAGCAAAUUUGAUCCUUUUAAAGUGCCUUUGGGAUAGUUUCCUUCCAGCCAACUCUAAAUAGCUUUCUGCCAGAGCUAAAGGGGAAAAGCUCACAACUUGAACCAAAACCCAAGUUCAUUCUUUCCUAGUUCAGCUGAGGAGCUGACCCCACCAGACAACUGGUGGGACUCAAUCCCUCACACACUCUGCCUAGUGUUGGUCUCAACUCUCAGACCACUGAGACUUUUUUGGGAGUUUUGCUGGCAAUGCUCCACUACAGGGUACAAAUGUGAAUGAGGUGCUUGGUAAUGUAGUGGUGGUCAACACAUUUCUAACUCUAAAUAACUGCUCCUCCCUUUUUGUAGCAUAAUACAGUUUUUACCAACCCCCCACCCCUCUUACCCCUGCUUUUAAUGGUAUCUAUUAACUCGAGACUCAAGUCUGCCAAGCAUUGAACAAAAGGUUAGAUGGAAAAUCAGUUUGUGUCCCUGGAAGUGCUGCUGUCACACGAGGCUCCAGGCACUUCAGCAGGGCUGCAUGGGAAGUUGGGUGGUUCAUGCUGCAGCUUUUUGUUCUGAGACUGGAUUCCUUUUGAUUGCAGUCAUCCAGCACUCUUACACAAGCAAAUACCAUGGUCCAGCACUCUUACACAAGCACAAACUGUGGUCUGGAUGAAAUUUUUUGUCUGUAAAAGGUGCAGUCACUGUUUCACACCACUGAGUGGAGUGAGAAUGUUGCUUUUGAAGGUACUAACAGAGCAGAGUAAGUUGCUGGCUAAAAGCUGACAGAUGCCUUAAUGACUUCCCAUGCUGGAGAUAACAGCUUGUCCAACUGCUCAUGUAGUGCUUACAAACUAACAUGUAACAGUAUGGGAGGCCAAGGCUGGAUCGUUUUGUAGAUCAAAUGUUAAUAGGCAAGUCCUCUUUUUUUGUAACCAGCAGAGGUGGUCACUGCAGCAAACUCAUCUCUAGAAAAAUCAAAGCUUGUAUGAGUGACAGAAAUAACUGAACCUUCUAAUACCCUCUGUGAAAUAGAAAAGGAAGUCUUAGAACAAUGGCAUUUUAUCUGCAAUGUUUGUCUGGAGUCGUUGUAAAAAUGUAUUUUUCCAAUAUGCAUUACUUUGUUGUGUAAUGAUUCUACUUGUAAUAAAAUGCAGAACUUAGAUGAUGCAUCGUGAGGUGAAACCUUGCUAAGGAAGUAUCUGCUCCUGUAGAGACAGCUGCCCCUCUGCAAGCUUAUACUCACAAACCACAAAGAAAACCAGGGAUACAAUAUCCAGUCGGGCAUAACAACUUUAUUCUUUGUUCUGAAAUUAGUCCAGGUAUUCAUUUUCAUGCUGUGGAACUGCUACAACUGUUCUUUUGGCUGUCAAGGUCUGGUGUUCUAGUUUGUACCAUGUAGUCAUCUUGAAUGCCUUAUACUAGACUUACCUAUAAUCAGUCUUGUGAAACAAACCCGAGCUCCCCACGAGCCAGAGGUGCUUCAUGUUCAUCAGUUUGAGUUACUACUAACACUUGGUGUACUCAGCUGUGUACUGGAGGCAGCUCAGGCCCCUGGGAGAGCAGAGAACUGCUGCAGCUUCACUUCAGGAAAAGGAAAACUUCAGUGCAAUAGCAAACCCAGCCACGGCUUCUGGGUGAGAUUGUGAUGCAUUAGUCUUUUAUUAAUAAAACUUAACUGAAGUACAGAUGAAUGGUGAGCUUUAUUAGAGCACUGUCUGUGGUGACUUGAGCCCUCUGUAGCUAUCACUGGUUUCUUCCACUCUUUUCCACCACAUGAGAAUCCAGCUGAGCUGCUGAAUUGGAGUUACAAGCAUGACAGUCUUGGAUCACUUCAGGUCAGUGAGGGUGUCUCCUUGUUUGCUUUAAUAGAUGACUUAUUCCUAGUGCAAGACACUCUUCCCCCCACAGUGUUACCAAACUAAACUGAGGAAUAAGCUGUGAACUGGUUUUCAAUCAACUUUAACUUAACCAACACCCUUCCUGCCCUGCCUUUUUGCAGCAGUUUAUUUGAUUUUUGUGUAGCUCUUGCAAUCAAAACCAUCCCCUCAGCACCAUCUGCACAAUGAUUGAGUGUUGCAGCAAGAUGAAACUUGCUAAGAAAGUCAAGCUGGUCCACCUUCAUUGGGACUGGUUUGCCCUCACAAACUACUUCCUACAGCAUUUAAUAGUCUGGAAUUUACUUCAACUUUUAAAUAGCUUAAAAAAGCUCUUUAAAAGGCACUAAUUAUUUGGGGAGAUGCUUUAAAUGCAAUUUCUUUUUAAAGUGGUGGUGUCUUUUUAGAUGUGGCAAAGGCCAAAGUUGUGGAGGCAGUGAAGUGCUGCUUUGUAGCUCUUCCCUGCACCUUUUACAAAGCUUGAUCUUCAGCAUCGUGUGAAAGGAGUUGCUCACUCCACCCCCAAAGAUGGCUCAAGCCCAGGGCUGAGGUUCAGUUCUGCCACACAUCCUAUCCCCAGCACGACGAGCUGGCAGAGCAGGGCAAUGCCUGGAAGAGCUUCUCUUCAGGAUGAUGACAGGUAAAAAACCCCAAAAAUAAAACCACAACCCUCACUGUGCCCACUGUUAAAACAAGCAUGUACAUAUUGAAGUUGCUGUGUGGCUUCACCCCUGGCAGCUGGAGCAUCCUCUGAGCUUUUGUCAGUGGGAAGUGUUGUAAUGUGUCCUACUGCAAGGGAGUAAACUUGCUAAUUAACUAACUAAUCACUUAGACUUUGGGCCUCUCUUUAGAGGUGGUGGUAGCUAAAAAUCAGUUUAUAGUUUUUUUUUUUUUUUACAGUUGCUUACAUAUAGGUGUCAGCUGCCUUAAGGAGAAGAACUGACCACAAUUCAUCAGGGACCGGUGCCACCACUGGACCUUGAUCUGCGUGGUUCUCUCAAAGCUCAGCUACACCAAAACUGAUUUUAACAGCAGAUGCCAUUAAAACCAGCAACUGCUUCCCUGCAGCUUGAGGUUUGUAGUGCCUGAACCCUGUGCAGGUAUUCCUUCCUCCCUUUUAGCCCCAGCCAGAAAUGGUAAUAACCUGCCCUGCAUUUCUGGGAGUCGCUCAUAGUGCCGAAUUCUGCUAGCUGUGAUACAGUAACUAUAGAUUUUAAGAGUGCUGGGUCUUGUAAGGGCACAUCCACCUCAGUUUAUAGUGUGAUAGGCACAGACCAGAUGGGAGGAAGUUUUAUACCAGAAUGGAAACAGGAGGCAGAUUACAGUAGGAUGGUUCUGUUGCCACCCAGGCAACAAAAAGAAAGCUAUUUAAAACUACUCAUUCCUGAUCAGAACAAGUUUGAAAGUGGUGAAUCACAGAACAGGAGGGUGAGGUUAAUAUCAAGCAACAAUCCUCAUAGGUGGCUUCAAUAUCUUGGCACAGUAUUUAAUGUAAACACUGAAUGUGGAAAUACAGCUCUGGCCUUUGCCUUCUCUACUCCAAGAAUUUGAUAAAGCUUGUGUGUAACUAAACUGCGCAAGUUCCUAGAUACUCUGGACCUUAAUUGCAGAAGAAAUUCAGGGUUCUCUCUGCUACCUUUAAACUUUGGAGUGAGUCAGACCUGUGGACUGUGCAUCAAGUGUGGGCAGAGGUGCUGCAGCAGUUCCUGUGCUUGCUGCCUUAAACCACAGCACACUGUCCCACCACUGUGCACACCAACUUCCAUUUCCUGACUGCACAAGAAAGCUG